Non-coding RNA from Helianthus annuus (common sunflower), 144 nucleotides. NCBI's taxonomy places the organism in Eukaryota, Viridiplantae, Streptophyta, Magnoliopsida, Asterales, Asteraceae. The record is from Rfam.
AAGAUAAGAGUAUCUCAGACGAGCCAAAGACGACUUCCUAAAAAACCACUUCAAAAGUUGUCUAAUUAUACGAGUACAAUUUACAACCUUAGAGUAAAGGGGUUUAGGCAAGUCAUCCUUGGCUAUCCAAAUCACUCUUUAACC